GCAUGCUCAGUAUGGCUGCAGUGGUUCCCUUAGCUGCUUGCUACUGCCAUUUCCAAGGUUCUGUCACAAAAGACAGAGGAAGAUCAGGCACUUAGCAAAAUAGUAGUUUGGGCUGGGAAGGAAGCUUUAAUUCUUGAUGAUAAUAAUGGCGUCUCCUUCUGUCUGGAGAGCGAUGUGGAUGGCAAUCCAGUUAAUUUCAGUGGUUGGCCUAUUGAGUGUGAAGCUGGUCGGGGCCAGUCAAGAAUCUGGGAGUGUCAUUCCAGCAGAAAGUCGUCCCUGCGUCGACUGCCAUGCGUUUGAAUUCAUGCAGAGGGCCCUGCAGGAUUUAAAGAAGACUGCGUACAAUCUAGACACACGG
Long non-coding RNA from Trachemys scripta elegans, 358 nucleotides. RefSeq lists it as uncharacterized. The record is from RefSeq and is a predicted model, not a curated record. The transcript is spliced from 3 exons. Lineage: Eukaryota; Metazoa; Chordata; Testudines; Emydidae.